RNAcentral lists this ribosomal RNA (492 nucleotides) under uncultured bacterium. Its description in RNAcentral is "partial 16S ribosomal RNA". It matches the Rfam family "Bacterial small subunit ribosomal RNA", at positions 29 to 507 of the family's 1533-position model. The record is from RNAcentral.
AGUGAACGCUGGCGGUAGGCCUAACACAUGCAAGUCGAACGGCAGCACAGUAAGAGCUUGCUCUUACGGGUGGCGAGUGGCGGACGAGUGAGGAAUACAUCGGAAUCUACUUUUUCAUGGGGGAUAACGUAGGGAAACUUACGCUAAUACCGCAUACGACCUACGGGUGAAAGCAGGGGAUCUUCGGACCUUGCGCGAUUGAAUGAGCCGAUGUCGGAUUAGCUAGUUGGCGGGGUAAAGGCCCACCUAGGCGACGAUCCGUAGCUGGUCUGAGAGGAUGAUCAGCCACACUGGAACUGAGACACGGUCCAGACUCCUACGGGAGGCAGCAGUGGGGAAUAUUGGACAAUGGGCGCAAGCCUGAUCCAGCCAUACCGCGUGGGUGAAGAAGGCCUUCGGGUUGUAAAGCCCUUUUGUUGGGAAAGAAAAGCAGCAGGUUAAUACCCCGCUGUUCUGACGGUACCCAAAGAAUAAGCACCGGCUAACUUCGUG